UUGUAACAUGUCAAUAUCAAGCACAUCAGCACUUAUUAAAGAUAUGAUUAAUUAUCCAAUAAACCAAAAUAUUAGAUUAAAUGUGUUACUCAGAUUACUUGUUGGACUUCAUGAAAUUGCGUUAAAAUCACCCGCAACCAUCCAUGGACCUUGUAUGUCUUAGGACAGUAAUUGAAGUUUUUCCCAAAGAAGCCGUCUCUCCUGAAUGGAGCACUUUGCAUAAACAAUGGUAAGCCUUAUCAGAUCAGAAUUAAGGUCGACUGUGAUACACAGUUCAAACUCGUCGACAAGCACUACAUUCACUUCAUGAUUCCAACAGAGCCAUAUUUUAUCAUCUGCCUCUUGAUUUGCCAAUGAAAAGUGGAAACCC
Molecule: long non-coding RNA, 370 nt
Filed under: Prunus persica (peach)
Lineage: Eukaryota; Viridiplantae; Streptophyta; Magnoliopsida; Rosales; Rosaceae
Description: long non-coding RNA (PPER_LNC000068)
Source: RNAcentral